UAAAAAACUACGAAGAGAAGAGUAGGUUAGUUUUUAUUUCAGAGAGGGAUUGUUGUGGCUGAAAGCAAUCCUAAUUAAGAAUUAGCCGAAUACCAGCUUGGAGUUGUAUCUUAACCUUUAGGUGAAAGAUGUCCGCUGAUUACAGCGUUAUGAAAAAAUGAGAAUUAAUUAGGGUGGAACCACGUGAGUAGCCUCUCGUCCCUUAA
Molecule: non-coding RNA, 206 nt
Filed under: Sporanaerobacter sp.
Lineage: Bacteria; Bacillati; Bacillota; Tissierellia; Tissierellales; Sporanaerobacteraceae
Description: T-box sequence
Rfam family: T-box leader
About the family: Uncharged tRNA acts as the effector for transcription antitermination of genes in the T-box leader family. T-boxes are found upstream of many aminoacyl-tRNA synthetase genes and some amino acid biosynthetic genes usually in Gram-positive bacteria. The anticodon of a specific tRNA base pairs to a specifier sequence within the T-box motif, and the NCCA acceptor tail of the tRNA base pairs to a conserved bulge in the T-box antiterminator hairpin.
Source: RNAcentral